GCCUGGGUGGCUCAGUCGGUUGAGCGUCUGACUUCAGCUCAGGUCACGAUCGUGCGUUCUGUGAGUUCAACCCUCGCGUCGGGCU
Molecule: transfer RNA, 85 nt
Filed under: Felis catus (domestic cat)
Lineage: Eukaryota; Metazoa; Chordata; Mammalia; Carnivora; Felidae
Rfam family: tRNA
About the family: Transfer RNA (tRNA) molecules are approximately 80 nucleotides in length. Their secondary structure includes four short double-helical elements and three loops (D, anti-codon, and T loops).
Source: Rfam by way of RNAcentral